AAGAAACUCUACAGGGACAUUGGCCGCACGGUGCUGGGCCACCAGUUCCUUGUCAAACAAAACAAGGAACAGUGACUGGUGGCCAAAGCCGACCUGGCCAAGUGUCAGGCCUUCACUUCAAGAUCCCUUCACUCCUUGAGGACAUCGAACAGGAUACUUGGCAGCAUACCUCUGCAGUAUCUAUGGACACAGGGCAGGGUCGUCAUACGGAUGCGGGUGUCUGAGGUCAAGGAGGCUGUGGGGAACCCUGAGAGUGAUUACCUCAUAAAUGUCAUUGACCAGAAAACGGUAUGGAAAUUUGGGACAGCGCAGAUCUACCUGGAGCCGGAGGAGUAUGGGUGGUUCACCCAGUGGCUCUGGCUCCGCAACCGGUCUGUGCCUCUGAAUAA
Molecule: long non-coding RNA, 389 nt
Organism: Epinephelus moara (kelp grouper)
Lineage: Eukaryota; Metazoa; Chordata; Actinopteri; Perciformes; Serranidae
Exons: 3
Source: RefSeq, a predicted model, not a curated record